AUUGAACGCUGGCGGCAGGCCUAACACAUGCAAGUCGAACGGUAACAGGAAGACGCUUGCUUCUUUGCUGACGAGUGGCGGACGGGUGAGUAAUGUCUGGGAAACUGCCUGAUGGAGGGGGAUAACUACUGGAAACGGUAGCUAAUACCGCAUAACGUCGCAAGACCAAAAAGGGGGACCUUCGGGCCUCUUGCCAUCGGAUGUGCCCAGAUGGGAUUAGCUAGUAGGUGGGGUAACGGCUCACCUAGGCGACGAUCCCUAGCUGGUCUGAGAGGAUGACCAGCCACACUGGAACUGAGACACGGUCCAGACUCCUACGGGAGGCAGCAGUGGGGAAUAUUGCACAAAGGGCGCAAGCCUGAUGCAGCCAUGCCGCGUGUAUGAAGAAGGCCUUCGGGUUGUAAAGUACUUUCAGCGGGGAGGAAGGGAGUAAAGUUAAUACCUUUGCUCAUUGACGUUACCCGCAGAAGAAGCACCGGCUAACUCCGUG
RNAcentral lists this ribosomal RNA (490 nucleotides) under uncultured bacterium. Its description in RNAcentral is "partial 16S ribosomal RNA". It matches the Rfam family "Bacterial small subunit ribosomal RNA", at positions 30 to 507 of the family's 1533-position model. The record is from RNAcentral.